GCAGAGAUGAAAAGAGAGAUAGCCAAAUAAGAUAAAGAUGAAAUUUCUUUUUUUACUGUAGGAGUAAACUGCUUGGGAGGAUCAGGAGCCAGAUCAGCAGCUGUUGCAGUGUAUAUUCUGGGCGAUAAAGUAGUUUAGAUCUAGGCUCUGUUUAACGACAAUGAAAUUUGCCUCAGACACCAACCCAACAACUUUUAAAGUUAUCUCCCUUUAAAUCUAUUGAAACUCUUUUUCCACUCUUGUAGUAUGUUCGCGCAGUAUCUAGGAGAAGAGCUUCUUAUUCUUCCCCUCUUCCCCUCUGUUCUUUUAUUAAGGUCUCCCUCCCUGCAAACCCCUGCCCACACACUCUUCUUGGGAAGCAGGUAACAUGGAAAGUGCUGAAGCAACACAAGAUACGAUGUUCUUGAAGAACCUCUGAUCUGCUGAGCAAUGUCUUGCGAGAUUUACAGCUCCAAAGGAUUUACCAUAAAUAAAUAAAACCUUUCAACACCUUACAGCUCCUGGGAAACAAAAUCCAAAACAUUCUGAGUUGCGCUUAUCACCUCUUAUUGCCAAUGUUACUGGUUUCGAAAAGCACCAAUGUCUUGUCGGUUCUUGGUGUGAAGCCACUUGCAGCCAGCGAGUGAACCUCCAGCUGUUUUUUGAAUGGGGAAUGUUUUUAUUUUCCAGAAGAUGUCAUUAUAAAGUGAGCUUCUCUGAUCUUUCAACUUUCUGGUAAGUAAUUAAACCAGGCUUUUCCGUUUUCUGUAUGUUUUCUGUAUGAAGCUGCCAUGAACUU
This 778-nucleotide long non-coding RNA is filed under the name Calidris pugnax (ruff). Its description in RNAcentral is "lncRNA (ENSCPUG00000009631.1)". Lineage: Eukaryota; Metazoa; Chordata; Aves; Charadriiformes; Scolopacidae. The record is from RNAcentral.